UUAUGAAGUCAUCUCGUCUAUUUGUUUAGGCCUUUAUUGUCUGCCUUUCCGUAAAUUCCACGAAAGCAAAGAUCUCCACAGUCCUGUUCUCGGCUGUGUCCCAGUGCCUGACACAUAGGCUCUUAAUAGAGACUUGCUAAAAGGAUGAAUUACACCCACUUUACAAAAGAGGAAACUGAGGCUCAGAGAGGCCGAUUGACUUGUCCAGCAUCAGAGGCUGAUCCACGUUUCCAGCUGGUUUCUUUGUUUUGAUAUCAUUUAUUCAUGUGUUCAACAGAUAUUUAUUUUCCCUGAUCAAUCAGGCCCUAGGGCUUUGAUGGGACGGAGCAUGCAGAUGAGGGAAUGGCUCCUAAUCCCACCCAGAAUGGGGGCAAAGAAGGUUUCCUGGAUAUUAGUGAGAACUGGAGGACCGGUCUGGGAAAGGGGAGAAGGCUAAUCCAGGCAGAGGACAGCAUGUGCAGAGACUCAGAGUAUGCAGAAACCACCUCCAGUAAUGCCUGCCUCUGUUUUCUUUCCGCAAUGCCAAGACCUCAGGAUGAAGCAAAGCUCAGAGAGCACAGUUGGGUAAACUGAGGCAUGGGAAGGCUAUGGAGCACACCCAAGGUCACAAGUUAGGAGGAGGUGAAGCCAAGAACAGCACCCAGGCUGGCUGCAGAGAGGAAUCAAGGACCAAGUGCAGACCUCAAGAAGCAGCUGGCUGGAAAACCAGAGGGACUGAGGUUGGAUAGCAGACCCUGUCUGUCUGGUGGUGACCCCCCACCAAAUAGCUAUGGAACUGUCCAGAGACCAGUCUCUGCACCCCCAGGCAAGAUCCCUUCCACAGGCCUCUAGGGUGGAGGAUGCCAAAGCCACCCCCAUCCACUCUCCCCAGCAUCUCCCAACAUGUGAGGGCCGUGAUGGACACGAGUUCCACACCAGAUGCUGCUGUUG
RNAcentral lists this long non-coding RNA (930 nucleotides) under Equus asinus (donkey). RNAcentral's name for it is "lncRNA (ENSEASG00005026179.1)". Lineage: Eukaryota; Metazoa; Chordata; Mammalia; Perissodactyla; Equidae. The record is from RNAcentral.